RNAcentral lists this ribosomal RNA (322 nucleotides) under Calliptamus barbarus. RNAcentral's name for it is "partial 16S ribosomal RNA". It matches the Rfam family "Bacterial large subunit ribosomal RNA", at positions 1993 to 2527 of the family's 2925-position model. Lineage: Eukaryota; Metazoa; Arthropoda; Insecta; Orthoptera; Acrididae. The record is from RNAcentral.
UGAAUGGCUUGACGAGAAAUCAACUGUCUCUUAAUAAUUUUUAAAAUUUAACUUUUGAGUCAAAAGGCUUAAAUUUUUCUUUAGGACGAGAAGACCCUAUAGAGCUUAACAUUUUAUUUUUAUAUAGUUUUUAGUUGAUCUUUCUAUAUUUAAUGAUAAUGUUUUGUUGGGGUGACAUGAAGAAUAAUUAAACUCUUCAUUAUAAAAUCAUUGAUUUAUGUUUAUCAUGAUCCAUAAUUUAUGAUCAUAAGAUUAAGUUACCUUAGGGAUAACAGCGUAAUUGUUUUCGAGAGCUCAUAUCGACAAAGCAGAUUGCGACCUC